GAUGAACGCUGGCGGCGUGCCUAAUACAUGCAAGUCGAGCGAACGGACGAGAAGCUUGCUUCUCUGAUGUUAGCGGCGGACGGGUGAGUAGCACGUGGAUAACCUACCUAUAAGACUGGGAUAACUUCGGGAAACCGGAGCUAAUACCGGAUAAUAUUUUGAACCGCAUGGUUCAAAAGUGAAAGACGGUCUUGCUGUCACUUAUAGCUGGAUCCGCGCUGCAUUAGCUAGUUGGUAAGGUAACGGCUUACCAAGGCAACGAUGCAUAGCCGACCUGAGAGGGGGAUCGCCCACACUGGAACGGAGACACGGUCCAGACGCCUACGGGGGGCAGCAGUAGGGAAUCUUACGCAGUGGGCGAAAGCCUGACGGAGCAACGCCGCGUGAGUGAUGAAGGUCUUCGGAUCGUAAAACUCUGUUAUUAGGGAAGAACAUAUGUGUAAGUAACUGUGCACAUCUUGACGGUACCUAAUCAGAAAGCCACGGCUAACUACGUG
Molecule: ribosomal RNA, 497 nt
Filed under: uncultured bacterium
Lineage: Bacteria
Description: partial 16S ribosomal RNA
Rfam family: Bacterial small subunit ribosomal RNA
Source: RNAcentral